UCCUUAAGGGGUCAAUUGACAAUUUUGGUCAAAUUGACUUAAUUGAAGAUCUUACUUUGCUGAACAUUAUUGCUGUUUACAGUUUAUUUCUAUCUAUAAUCAUAUUCAAGAUAAUAUACAAAAACAGCAAAAUUUCCUUAAAAUUAUCAAUUCAGGGGCAGCAACCCAACAACAGAUUGUCUGAUUCAUCUGAAAAUUUCAGGGCAGAUAGAUCUUGACCUGAUAAACAAUAUUACCCAACGUCAGAUUUGCUCUAAAUGCUUUGGUUUUUGAGUUAUAAGCCAAAAACUGCAUUUGACCCCUAUGUUCUAUUUUUAGCAAUGGCGACCAUGUUUGUUGAUAGAUCAUAACUUCGGAUACAAUUUACAAACUAGAUACCCUAAGGAACAUUCAGUUAAAGUUUGGAAGUAUUUGGCCCAGUAGUUUCAGAGGAGAAGAUUUUUGUAAAAGAUUACUAAGAUUUACGAAAAAUGGUUAAAAAUUGACUAUAAAGGGCAAUAACUCCUAAAGGGGUCAACUGACCAUUUCCGUCAUGUUGACUUAUUUGUAAAUCUUACUUUGCUGAACAUUAUUCCUGUUUACAGUUUAUCUCUAUCUAUAAUAAUAUUCAAGAUAAUAACC
RNAcentral lists this long non-coding RNA (621 nucleotides) under Mytilus galloprovincialis (Mediterranean mussel). The record is from RNAcentral. Lineage: Eukaryota; Metazoa; Mollusca; Bivalvia; Mytilida; Mytilidae.